UACCAGCUCUCCGAGUGGUAGGGAUGAUUAUUGGGCUUAAAGCGUCCGUAGCCGGCUUAGCAAGUCUCCUGUUAAACUCAGCGACCUAAUCGUUGAAUCGCGGGAGAUACUACUAGGCUAGGAGGCGGGGGAGGUCGACGGUACUUCUGGGGUAGGGGUGAAAUCCUAUAAUCCCGGGAGGACCACCAGUGGCGAAGGCUGUCGACUAGAACGCGCUCGACGGUGAGGGACGAAAGCUGGGGUAGCGAACCGGAUUAGAUACCCGGGUAGUCCCAGCUGUAAACGAUGCGGGCUAGGUGUUGGGAUGGCUACGGGCCAUUUCAGUGCCGCAGGGAAGCCAUUAAGCCCGCCGCCUGGGGAGUACGGCCGCAAGGCUGAAACUUAAGGAAUUGGCGGGGGAGCACCACAAGGCGUGAAGCUUGCGGUUC
Molecule: ribosomal RNA, 428 nt
Filed under: uncultured archaeon
Lineage: Archaea
Description: bacterial SSU rRNA
Rfam family: Archaeal small subunit ribosomal RNA
Source: RNAcentral